RNAcentral lists this long non-coding RNA (783 nucleotides) under Sinocyclocheilus grahami. Its description in RNAcentral is "lncRNA (ENSSGRG00000022339.1)". Lineage: Eukaryota; Metazoa; Chordata; Actinopteri; Cypriniformes; Cyprinidae. The record is from RNAcentral.
GUUUCAGCGAGACAUCACAUCAACCAGACCACAUCUGAGAGACUAUGAGUGUCACUGGUUUACUCUGCCUUUCAUUGCAUGGAUUCAUUCUCACAAUACAUGCUCUCCAGCACCAGCGGGUCCGGCCCAACGGCAUGGCCAUUCUGCCCUGUGGUGAGCUGAAGGCUGGGAAAGUGACCUGGAGCAGAGAUCUGAAAGGACGCAAAGUGUCCAUCCUCAGCACUGAAAAUGGAGACAUAACCAGACACAUACAGAAUCACAAUCACAGCUCCUUACCUGACCUGUCUCUGGUCAUCUGGUUUGUCUCAUCUUGGGAUGAAGGCUUGUAUUAUUGCAACAGGACACCUGUGGCAUGUCUAACAGUGAAAGCAGCUGAUGGACAGAACAAAGAGGGUCUGACUGCAUGUGUCGAAGGUGGCGUGCGUGUGGAUGUGAUGGCCCGUGCGCUGAUGUUCGGCGGUGUUGGACUGGCGGCUCUGAUGCUUCUCUUCGCUACUGCAGCUGCAGUAAAAGCUUCACGCUCGACUCGCAUGGCAGACCACACUGAUCUAUAUAUUAACCUGAGAGAACGGCAGUCAAACUGAUGAAGAGCUUCAAGAAAACCUUUUAAACUGCUUAGUCAAACAUCACUGUUGCUAUUGUUCAUACGUACACUGUAAAAAAUUGUGCCAUUAAAUAACAGUAAUUUACUGGCAGCAGGGUUGCCAGUAAGGUACUAUUAAUUUACAACUCUAAAUUUUUACAGUGUUUUACCGUAAUUCUACCAUGGAAAUUAACUCCGCU